AUUUGCCCUUACAUUUGUACAGGAAUGUGUCAGCCAAUCAACAUCUAGGGCACACAUCUAACAAACUCCCACUUGACCUAAUGCCAAUUGGCUACAUAUCUAAGUUCCAUCUUCUCAAGGUGGGCUUCGAUCUUCUGCUGGCCUAAUGGCUUUGUCAGUGGGUCUGCCGCAUUGUCUGUGGAGUCGACUCUCUUAACCUCGACAUAAUAUUUUUUGAGGUAAUCAGGGAUC
Molecule: long non-coding RNA, 231 nt
Filed under: Elaeis guineensis (African oil palm)
Lineage: Eukaryota; Viridiplantae; Streptophyta; Magnoliopsida; Arecales; Arecaceae
Description: long non-coding RNA (EGUI_LNC082163)
Source: RNAcentral